UACGAAGGGGGCUAGCGUUGCUCGGAAUCACUGGGCGUAAAGCGCACGUAGGCGGCUUUUUAAGUCAGGGGUGAAAUCCUGGAGUUCAACUCCAGAACUGCCUUUGAUACUGGGAAGCUCGAGUCCGGGAGAGGUGAGUGGAACUCCGAGUGUAGAGGUGAAAUUCGUAGAUAUUCGGAAGAACACCAGUGGCGAAGGCGGCUCACUGGCCCGGUACUGACGCUGAGGUGCGAAAGCGUGGGGAGCAAACAGG
RNAcentral lists this ribosomal RNA (253 nucleotides) under uncultured bacterium. Its description in RNAcentral is "partial 16S ribosomal RNA". It matches the Rfam family "Bacterial small subunit ribosomal RNA", at positions 524 to 776 of the family's 1533-position model. The record is from RNAcentral.